UUAAGCGACUAAGUGUACACGGUGGAUGCCCUGGCAGUCAGAGGCGAUGAAGGACGUGCUAAUCUGCGAUAAGCGUCGGUAAGGUGAUAUGAACCGUUAUAACCGGCGAUUUCCGAAUGGGGAAACCCAGUGUGUUUCGACACACUAUCAUUAACUGAAUCCAUAGGUUAAUGAGGCGAACCGGGGGAACUGAAACAUCUAAGUACCCCGAGGAAAAGAAAUCAACCGAGAUUCCCCCAGUAGCGGCGAGCGAACGGGGAGGAGCCCAGAGCCUGAAUCAGUGUGUGUGUUAGUGGAAGCGUCUGGAAAGGCGCGCGAUACAGGGUGACAGCCCCGUACACAAAAAUACACAUAUUGUGAGCUCGAUGAGUAGGGCGGGACACGUGGUAUCCUGUCUGAAUAUGGGGGGACCAUCCUCCAAGGCUAAAUACUCCUGACUGACCGAUAGUGAACCAGUACCGUGAGGGAAAGGCGAAAAGAACCCCGGCGAGGGGAGUGAAAAAGAACCUGAAACCGUGUACGUACAAGCAGUGGGAGCACGCUUAGGCGUGUGACUGCGUACCUUUUGUAUAAUGGGUCAGCGACUUAUAUUCUGUAGCAAGGUUAACCGAAUAGGGGAGCCGAAGGGAAACCGAGUCUUAACUGGGCGUUAAGUUGCAGGGUAUAGACCCGAAACCCGGUGAUCUAGCCAUGGGCAGGUUGAAGGUUGGGUAACACUAACUGGAGGACCGAACCGACUAAUGUUGAAAAAUUAGCGGAUGACUUGUGGCUGGGGGUGAAAGGCCAAUCAAACCGGGAGAUAGCUGGUUCUCCCCGAAAGCUAUUUAGGUAGCGCCUCGUGAAUUCAUCUCCGGGGGUAGAGCACUGUUUCGGCAAGGGGGUCAUCCCGACUUACCAACCCGAUGCAAACUGCGAAUACCGGAGAAUGUUAUCACGGGAGACACACGGCGGGUGCUAACGUCCGUCGUGAAGAGGGAAACAACCCAGACCGCCAGCUAAGGUCCCAAAGUCAUGGUUAAGUGGGAAACGAUGUGGGAAGGCCCAGACAGCCAGGAUGUUGGCUUAGAAGCAGCCAUCAUUUAAAGAAAGCGUAAUAGCUCACUGGUCGAGUCGGCCUGCGCGGAAGAUGUAACGGGGCUAAACCAUGCACCGAAGCUGCGGCAGCGACGCUUAUGCGUUGUUGGGUAGGGGAGCGUUCUGUAAGCCUGCGAAGGUGUGCUGUGAGGCAUGCUGGAGGUAUCAGAAGUGCGAAUGCUGACAUAAGUAACGAUAAAGCGGGUGAAAAGCCCGCUCGCCGGAAGACCAAGGGUUCCUGUCCAACGUUAAUCGGGGCAGGGUGAGUCGACCCCUAAGGCGAGGCCGAAAGGCGUAGUCGAUGGGAAACAGGUUAAUAUUCCUGUACUUGGUGUUACUGCGAAGGGGGGACGGAGAAGGCUAUGUUGGCCGGGCGACGGUUGUCCCGGUUUAAGCGUGUAGGCUGGUUUUCCAGGCAAAUCCGGAAAAUCAAGGCUGAGGCGUGAUGACGAGGCACUACGGUGCUGAAGCAACAAAUGCCCUGCUUCCAGGAAAAGCCUCUAAGCAUCAGGUAACAUCAAAUCGUACCCCAAACCGACACAGGUGGUCAGGUAGAGAAUACCAAGGCGCUUGAGAGAACUCGGGUGAAGGAACUAGGCAAAAUGGUGCCGUAACUUCGGGAGAAGGCACGCUGAUAUGUAGGUGAAGUCCCUUGCGGAUGGAGCUGAAAUCAGUCGAAGAUACCAGCUGGCUGCAACUGUUUAUUAAAAACACAGCACUGUGCAAACACGAAAGUGGACGUAUACGGUGUGACGCCUGCCCGGUGCCGGAAGGUUAAUUGAUGGGGUCAGCGCAAGCGAAGCUCUUGAUCGAAGCCCCGGUAAACGGCGGCCGUAACUAUAACGGUCCUAAGGUAGCGAAAUUCCUUGUCGGGUAAGUUCCGACCUGCACGAAUGGCGUAAUGAUGGCCAGGCUGUCUCCACCCGAGACUCAGUGAAAUUGAACUCGCUGUGAAGAUGCAGUGUACCCGCGGCAAGACGGAAAGACCCCGUGAACCUUUACUAUAGCUUGACACUGAACAUUGAGCCUUGAUGUGUAGGAUAGGUGGGAGGCUUUGAAGUGUGGACGCCAGUCUGCAUGGAGCCGGCCUUGAAAUACCACCCUUUAAUGUUUGAUGUUCUAACGUGGACCCGUGAUCCGGGUUGCGGACAGUGUCUGGUGGGUAGUUUGACUGGGGCGGUCUCCUCCUAAAGAGUAACGGAGGAGCACGAAGGUUGGCUAAUCCUGGUCGGACAUCAGGAGGUUAGUGCAAUGGCAUAAGCCAGCUUGACUGCGAGCGUGACGGCGCGAGCAGGUGCGAAAGCAGGUCAUAGUGAUCCGGUGGUUCUGAAUGGAAGGGCCAUCGCUCAACGGAUAAAAGGUACUCCGGGGAUAACAGGCUGAUACCGCCCAAGAGUUCAUAUCGACGGCGGUGUUUGGCACCUCGAUGUCGGCUCAUCACAUCCUGGGGCUGAAGUAGGUCCCAAGGGUAUGGCUGUUCGCCAUUUAAAGUGGUACGCGAGCUGGGUUUAGAACGUCGUGAGACAGUUCGGUCCCUAUCUGCCGUGGGCGCUGGAGAACUGAGGGGGGCUGCUCCUAGUACGAGAGGACCGGAGUGGACGCAUCACUGGUGUUCGGGUUGUCAUGCCAAUGGCACUGCCCGGUAGCUAAAUGCGGAAGAGAUAAGUGCUGAAAGCAUCUAAGCACGAAACUUGCCCCGAGAUGAGUUCUCCCUGACCCUUUAAGGGUCCUGAAGGAACGUUGAAGACGACGACGUUGAUAGGCCGGGUGUGUAAGCGCAGCGAUGCGUUGAGCUAACCGGUACUAAUGAACCGUGAGGCUUAACCUU
RNAcentral lists this ribosomal RNA (2902 nucleotides) under Shigella sonnei. Its description in RNAcentral is "bacterial LSU rRNA". It matches the Rfam family "Bacterial large subunit ribosomal RNA". The record is from RNAcentral. Lineage: Bacteria; Pseudomonadati; Pseudomonadota; Gammaproteobacteria; Enterobacterales; Enterobacteriaceae.